This 497-nucleotide ribosomal RNA is filed under the name uncultured bacterium. Its description in RNAcentral is "partial 16S ribosomal RNA". It matches the Rfam family "Bacterial small subunit ribosomal RNA", at positions 38 to 507 of the family's 1533-position model. The record is from RNAcentral.
GGGGGGGGGGGGGGGGGGGGGGGGGGGGGGCGGGGGGGGGGGGGGGGGGGGGAGGGGGCUGCUCGGACGGUGGCGGCGGGCGGGUGAGUGACGCGUGGGUAACCGACGUGUAGGGCUGGGAUAACGGCGGGAAGCCGGAGCUAAUACCGGAGAAUGUCUUGAACCGCAUGGUUCAAUAGUGAAAGACGGUUUUGCUGUCACUUAUAGCUGGAUCCGCGCCGCAUUAGCUAGUUGGUAAGGUAACGGCUUACCAAGGCAACGAUGCGUAGCCGACCUGAGAGGGUGAUCGGCCACACUGGAACUGAGACACGGUCCAGACUCCUACGGGAGGCAGCAGUAGGGAAUCUUCCGCAAUGGGCGAAAGCCUGACGGAGCAACGCCGCGUGAGUGAUGAAGGUCUUCGGAUCGUAAAACUCUGUUAUUAGGGAAGAACAAAUGUGUAAGUAACUAUGCACGUCUUGACGGUACCUAAUCAGAAAGCCACGGCUAACUACGUG